Molecule: ribosomal RNA, 482 nt
Filed under: uncultured bacterium
Lineage: Bacteria
Description: partial 16S ribosomal RNA
Rfam family: Bacterial small subunit ribosomal RNA
Source: RNAcentral
AUUGAACGCUGGCGGCAUGCCUUACACAUGCAAGUCGAACGGAAACGGGCCUUCGGGUGCCGACGAGUGGCGAACGGGGGAGGAAUACAUCGGAACGUGCACGCUCGUGGGGGGUAAGGAGGCGAAAGCUGUACUAAUAGCUCAUACGGGAUAAGAAGGAAAGCAGGGGGGCGCAAGGCCGUGCGCGGGCCGUGCGGCCGCUGGCAGAUUGGGUAGUUGGGGAGUUAAAAGCUUACCAAGUCGACGAUUUGUAGCGGGACUGAGAGGAUGAUCAGCCACACUGGGACUGAGACACGGCCCAGACUCCUACGGGAGGCAGCAGUGGGGAAUUUUGGACAAUGGGCGCAAGCCUGAUCCAGCCAUGCCGCGUGAAGGAUGAAGGCCUUCGGGUUGUAAACUGCUUUUGUACGGAAAGAAAAGACUUCUUUGAAUACAGGAGGGUCAUGACGGUACCGUAAGAGUAAGCCCCGGCUAACUACGUG